Molecule: non-coding RNA, 99 nt
Organism: Pelobates cultripes (western spadefoot toad)
Lineage: Eukaryota; Metazoa; Chordata; Amphibia; Anura; Pelobatidae
Source: the annotation of a GenBank genome assembly
CUCCCUCGCGGUUCCCAGAAUUCCCAGCAUCUACACAUCAUAGAGUAAUCACUACUCUAUGAUGUGUAGAUGCUGGGAAUUCUGGGAACCGCGAGGGAG